This 239-nucleotide unclassified non-coding RNA is filed under the name fungal sp. RNAcentral's name for it is "partial internal transcribed spacer region". The stretch from base 1 to 46 matches the Rfam family "Eukaryotic small subunit ribosomal RNA", at positions 1786 to 1831 of the family's 1831-position model. Lineage: Eukaryota; Fungi. The record is from RNAcentral.
AAGUCGUAACAAGGUUUCCGUAGGUGAACCUGCGGAAGGAUCAUUAGCGAGUAGACCCUGCCCUAGUGGCUUGGUCAGUCCCAUCAUAUACACCUUUAUUCGUGAACUCGUGGUUCAGCUGGAUGAUGAAAGCUUCGGCGACUAGACGUCCAUCGGUUCCGCUCUUAUACCCUUUAUGUGAAGUCAAUGGAAAUUAUGAUAAUCUAAUACAACUUUCAACAACGGAUCUCUUGGCUCUC